Molecule: ribosomal RNA, 395 nt
Filed under: uncultured bacterium
Lineage: Bacteria
Description: partial 16S ribosomal RNA
Rfam family: Bacterial small subunit ribosomal RNA
Source: RNAcentral
AUACGUAGGGUGCAAGCGUUAAUCGGAAUUACUGGGCGUAAAGCGUGCGCAGGCGGUUUUGUAAGACAGAGGUGAAAUCCCCCGGCUCAACCUGGGAACUGCCUUUGUGACUGCAAGGCUAGAGUACGGCAGAGGGGGAUGGAAUUCCGCGGGUAGCAGUGAAAUGCGUAGAUAUGCGGAGGAACAGCGAUGGCGAAGGCAAUCCCCUGGGCCUGUACUGACGCUCAUGCACGAAAGCGUGGGGAGCAAACAGGAUUAGAUACCCUGGUAGUCCACGCCCUAAACGAUGUCAACUGGUUGUUGGGUCUGCAUUGACUCAGUAACGAAGCUAACGCGUGAAGUUGACCGCCUGGGGAGUACGGCCGCAAGGUUGAAACUUAAAGGAAUUGACGGGG